UACGUAGGGGGCAAGCGUUGUCCGGAAUCAUUGGGCGUAAAGAGCGCGUAGGCGGCCCUGUAAGUCCGCUGUGAAAGUCAAGGGCUCAACCCUUGAAUGCCGGUGGAUACUGCAGGGCUAGAGUCCGGAAGAGGCGAGUGGAAUUCCUGGUGUAGCGGUGAAAUGCGCAGAUAUCAGGAGGAACACCAAUGGCGAAGGCAGCUCGCUGGGACGGUACUGACGCUGAGACGCGAAAGCGUGGGAGCAACA
RNAcentral lists this ribosomal RNA (249 nucleotides) under uncultured bacterium. RNAcentral describes it as "partial 16S ribosomal RNA". It matches the Rfam family "Bacterial small subunit ribosomal RNA", at positions 524 to 773 of the family's 1533-position model. The record is from RNAcentral.